AUUGAACGCUGGCGGCAGGCCUAACACAUGCAAGUCGAGCGGUAACAGAAAGUAGCUUGCUACUUUGCUGACGAGCGGCGGACGGGUGAGUAAUGCUUGGGAACAUGCCUUGAGGUGGGGGACAACAGUUGGAAACGACUGCUAAUACCGCAUAAUGUCUACGGACCAAAGGGGGCUUCGGCUCUCGCCUUUAGAUUGGCCCAAGUGGGAUUAGCUAGUUGGUGAGGUAAUGGCUCACCAAGGCGACGAUCCCUAGCUGGUUUGAGAGGAUGAUCAGCCACACUGGGACUGAGACACGGCCCAGACUCCUACGGGAGGCAGCAGUGGGGAAUAUUGCACAAUGGGCGCAAGCCUGAUGCAGCCAUGCCGCGUGUGUGAAGAAGGCCUUCGGGUUGUAAAGCACUUUCAGUCAGGAGGAAAGGUUAGUAGUUAAUACCUACUAGCUGUGACGUUACUGACAGAAGAAGCACCGGCUAACUCCGUGCCAGCAGCCGCGGUAAUACGGAGGGUGCGAGCGUUAAUCGGAAUUACUGGGCGUAAAGCGUACGCAGGCGGUUUGUUAAGCGAGAUGUGAAAGCCCCGGGCUCAACCUGGGAACUGCAUUUCGAACUGGCAAACUAGAGUGUGAUAGAGGGUGGUAGAAUUUCAGGUGUAGCGGUGAAAUGCGUAGAGAUCUGAAGGAAUACCGAUGGCGAAGGCAGCCACCUGGGUCAACACUGACGCUCAUGUACGAAAGCGUGGGGAGCAAACGGGAUUAGAUACCCCGGUAGUCCACGCCGUAAACGAUGUCUACUAGAAGCUCGGAGCCUCGGUUCUGUUUUUCAAAGCUAACGCAUUAAGUAGAC
RNAcentral lists this ribosomal RNA (845 nucleotides) under uncultured Pseudoalteromonas sp. RNAcentral's name for it is "bacterial SSU rRNA". It matches the Rfam family "Bacterial small subunit ribosomal RNA", at positions 28 to 869 of the family's 1533-position model. The record is from RNAcentral. Lineage: Bacteria; Pseudomonadati; Pseudomonadota; Gammaproteobacteria; Alteromonadales; Pseudoalteromonadaceae.